GAUGAACGCUGGCGGCGUGCCUAAUACAUGCAAGUCGAGCGAACAGAUGAGGAGCUUGCUCCUCUGACGUUAGCGGCGGACGGGUGAGUAACACGUGGAUAACCUACCUAUAAGACUGGGAUAACUUCGGGAAACCGGAGCUAAUACCGGAUAAGAUAUUGAACCGCAUGGUUCAAUAGUGAAAGACGGUUUUGCUGUCACUUAUAGAUGGAUCCGCGCCGCAUUAGCUAGUUGGUAAGGUAACGGCUUACCAAGGCAACGAUGCGUAGCCGACCUGAGAGGGUGAUAGGCCACACUGGAACUGAGACACGGUCCAGACUCCUACGGGAGGCAGCAGUAGGGAAUCUUCCGCAAUGGGCGAAAGCAUGACGGAGCAACGCCGCGUGAGUGAUGAAGGUCUUCGGAUCGUAAAACUCUGUUAUUAGGGAAGAACAAAUGUGUAAGUAACUAUGCACGUCUUGACGGUACCUAAUAAGAAAGCCACGGCUAACUACGUG
Molecule: ribosomal RNA, 497 nt
Filed under: uncultured bacterium
Lineage: Bacteria
Description: partial 16S ribosomal RNA
Rfam family: Bacterial small subunit ribosomal RNA
Source: RNAcentral